GCCUCUAUAGCUCAAGCGGAUAGAGCAAGGGACUCCUAAGCCCGAGAUCCAGGUUCAACUCCUGGUAGAGGCACAA
Molecule: transfer RNA, 76 nt
Filed under: Candidatus Falkowbacteria bacterium RIFCSPHIGHO2_02_FULL_45_15
Lineage: Bacteria; Candidatus Falkowiibacteriota
Also listed under: 2 other names
Description: tRNA-Arg
Rfam family: tRNA
About the family: Transfer RNA (tRNA) molecules are approximately 80 nucleotides in length. Their secondary structure includes four short double-helical elements and three loops (D, anti-codon, and T loops). Further hydrogen bonds mediate the characteristic L-shaped molecular structure. tRNAs have two regions of fundamental functional importance: the anti-codon, which is responsible for specific mRNA codon recognition, and the 3' end, to which the tRNAs corresponding amino acid is attached (by aminoacyl-tRNA synthetases). tRNAs cope with the degeneracy of the genetic code in two manners: having more than one tRNA (with a specific anti-codon) for a particular amino acid; and 'wobble' base-pairing, i.e. permitting non-standard base-pairing at the 3rd anti-codon position.
Source: RNAcentral